RNAcentral lists this ribosomal RNA (466 nucleotides) under uncultured bacterium. RNAcentral describes it as "partial 16S ribosomal RNA". It matches the Rfam family "Bacterial small subunit ribosomal RNA", at positions 28 to 507 of the family's 1533-position model. The record is from RNAcentral.
GACGAACGCUGGCGGCGCGCCUAACACAUGCAAGUCGAACGAGCGAGAGGAGGUUUACUUUCUCAAGCGAGUGGCGAACGGGUGAGUAACGCGUGAGGAACCUGCCUCAAAGAGGGGGACAACAGUUGGAAACGACUGCUAAUACCGCAUAAGCCCACGCCCCGGCAUCGGGUCGAGGGAAAAGGAGCAAUCCGCUUUGAGAUGGCCUCGCGUCCGAUUAGCUAGUUGGUGAGGUAAUGGCCCACCAAGGCGACGAUCGGUAGUCGGACUGAGAGGUUGAACGGCCACAUUGGGACUGAGACACGGCCCAGACUCCUACGGGAAGCGGCAGUGGGGAAUAUUGCACAAUGGGGGAAACCCUGAUGCAGCGACGCCGCGUGGAGGAAGAAGGUCUUCGGAUUGUAAACUCCUGUUGUUGAGGAAGAUAAUGACGGUACUCAACAAGGAAGUGACGGCUAACUACGUG